UGGGGAAUAUUGCACAAUGGGCGCAAGCCUGAUGCAGCAACGUCGCGUGAACUAUGAAUGCCAUCGGAUCGUAAAGCUUUGCUGCAGGGGAAGAUAAUCAGGGUACCCUGCGAGGAAGCCUCGGCUAACUACGUGCCAGCAGCCGCGGUAAUACCUAGGGGGCUAGCGUUAUCCGGAUUUACUGGACGGAAAGGAUGCGUAGGUGGUCUUUCAAGUCGGUGGUUAAAGGCUACGGCUCAACCGUAGUUAGCCUCCGAAACUGGAAGCCUUGAGUACAGGCGAGGAAAGUGGCAUUCCCAGUGUGGCGGUGAAGUGCGUAGAUAUAGGGAGGGACACCAGUGGCGAAGGCGGCUUUCUGGACUGCAACGGACCCUAAGGCACGAAAGCGUAGGUAGCGAUCAGG
This 403-nucleotide ribosomal RNA is filed under the name Verrucomicrobiota bacterium. Its description in RNAcentral is "Verrucomicrobia bacterium partial 16S ribosomal RNA". It matches the Rfam family "Bacterial small subunit ribosomal RNA", at positions 355 to 776 of the family's 1533-position model. Lineage: Bacteria; Pseudomonadati; Verrucomicrobiota. The record is from RNAcentral.